Molecule: ribosomal RNA, 479 nt
Filed under: uncultured bacterium
Lineage: Bacteria
Description: partial 16S ribosomal RNA
Rfam family: Bacterial small subunit ribosomal RNA
Source: RNAcentral
GACGAACGCUGGCGGCGUGCUUAACACAUGCAAGUCGAACGGUAAGGCCCUUCGGGGUACACGAGUGGCGAACGGGUGAGUAACACGUGGGUGAUCUGCCCUGCACUUCGGGAUAAGCCUGGGAAACUGGGUCUAAUACCGGAUAGGACCCUGGGAUGCAUGUCCUGGGGGUGGAAAGCUUUUGCGGGGUGGGAUGGGCCCGCGGCCUAUCAGCUUGUUGGUGGGGUGAUGGCCUACCAAGGCGACGACGGGUAGCCGGCCUGAGAGGGUGACCGGCCACACUGGGACUGAGAUACGGCCCAGACUCCUGCGGGAGGCAGCAGUGGGGAAUAUUGCACAAUGGGCGCAAGCCUGAUGCAGCGACGCCGCGUGAGGGAUGACGGCCUUCGGGUUGUAAACCUCUCUCAGCACCGACGAAGCGCAAGUGACGGUAGGUGCAGAAGAAGGACCGGCCAACUACGUGCCAGCAGCCGCCGUAA